UUUGCAGUGAUACUUUUGUGAUGAAAGAUUUUAAUUAUUGGUAAUGCUUACAAAGGGAUUGGCAUUUGCAGUGUUUCUUCAGAGAUUUAUUAUGAACCUAAUCCUUGUUGACAUUGUUUAAUUUACUGUGUCCUCAGAGUCUUUCAGCAGAAGAUUAAACGGGGCUAUAGACAUUCUUUGUACAAAACAUUCUUUCACCACACAAAGAUUGUUGAACUGUGCGUUGGGGAUUGGUGUCAUCUACGUUUCUAUCUGAUAGUGAUUGAUAAGUGUCAACCCUAAAAAAAUACCUUUUUUUAUUUCACAAAUAAUUCCACUAGUGGUUUCCCAUGGACUGAUUUUUACUGAGGUGGAACUUUUUCAACAUUUUCCAACAGGCUUCUGAGCAUCGGUUGGGUUACUGAGUCCUAAUAUAUGUGAACU
Molecule: long non-coding RNA, 423 nt
Filed under: Bos taurus (domestic cattle)
Lineage: Eukaryota; Metazoa; Chordata; Mammalia; Artiodactyla; Bovidae
Description: long non-coding RNA NONBTAT010860
Source: RNAcentral